This 455-nucleotide long non-coding RNA is filed under the name Elaeis guineensis (African oil palm). RNAcentral describes it as "long non-coding RNA (EGUI_LNC016705)". Lineage: Eukaryota; Viridiplantae; Streptophyta; Magnoliopsida; Arecales; Arecaceae. The record is from RNAcentral.
CUCAAUCUUCUAUCUUUUUUCCCUUUGUUCUUGCAAAAAAAACUUUCUCUCCCUUCCGCCACCAUGAUGCCAACUCCGAAAGCCAUCAAAGACAAGAUGAAGGAGAGGAGAGCUACCGAAAAGGGGGCUCAGAAGAGGGCCAGGCAUGUUGGUCCGUCCUCUUCCCACAGGGCACCAUCCGCCUCAUGGUCUUCAUCAUCUUCUGGGGAUGAGGGUGCCCCCUAGUUCGAGAUGAUCCCCCCUUGGUCCGGGAGCAUUGUAUCUGGGAGUUCCAGGCCUCCACAGUGUUCAAAAGAAAGGCCACCGACAUCACCGCUGCCACUUAUCCUCAGAUUUGAGGAUUGUAAGGCCCUCCUGUGGUGAAUGAUGCCAUAGCUGGACCUCCACCAUCUUCAGUCGGGAAACAGUGAUAGGUAGGGGCCUUCUCCUCAAAUGAGGAUUGAGCCCCCUCAUCA